GACGUAGGGGGCAAGCGUUGUUCGGAAUUAUUGGGCGUAAAGCGCUCGUAGGCGGGAUUGGAAGUCCGUGUUGAAAGACCUCGGCUCAACUGAGGGACCGGCUCGGAUACUCUAAUUCUUGAGGCAAUCAGAGGAUGAUGGAAUUCCCGGUGUAGCGGUGAAAUGCGUAGAUAUCGGGAAGGAACACCAGUGGCGAAGGCGAUCAUCUGGGGUUGUUCUGACGCUGAGGAGCGAAAAGCUAGGGGAGCAAACGGG
RNAcentral lists this ribosomal RNA (255 nucleotides) under uncultured bacterium. RNAcentral describes it as "partial 16S ribosomal RNA". It matches the Rfam family "Bacterial small subunit ribosomal RNA", at positions 524 to 776 of the family's 1533-position model. The record is from RNAcentral.